This 468-nucleotide ribosomal RNA is filed under the name uncultured bacterium. RNAcentral's name for it is "partial 16S ribosomal RNA". It matches the Rfam family "Bacterial small subunit ribosomal RNA", at positions 28 to 507 of the family's 1533-position model. The record is from RNAcentral.
GACGAACGCUGGCGGCGUGCUUAACACAUGCAAGUCGAACGGAAAGGCCCUGCUUUUGUGGGGUGCUCGAGUGGCGAACGGGUGAGUAACACGUGAGUAACCUGCCCUUGACUUUGGGAUAACUUCAGGAAACUGGGGCUAAUACCGGAUAGGAGCUCCUGCUGCAUGGUGGGGGUUGGAAAGUUUCGGCGGUUGGGGAUGGACUCGCGGCUUAUCAGCUUGUUGGUGGGGUAGUGGCUUACCAAGGCUUUGACGGGUAGCCGGCCUGAGAGGGUGACCGGCCGCAUUGGGACUGAGAUACGGCCCAGACUCCUACGGGAGGCAGCAGGGGGGAAUAUUGAACAAUGGGCGGAAGCCUGAUGCAGCAACGCCGCGUGCGGGAUGACGGCCUUCGGGUUGUAAACCGCUUUCGCCUGUGACGAAGCGUGAGUGACGGUAAUGGGUAAAGAAGCACCGGCGAACUACGUG